UAAGGCCUACGGGGGGCAGCAGUGGGGAAUAUUGCACAAUGGGGGAAACCCUGAUGCAGCGACGCCGCGUGAAGGAAGAAGUAUUUCGGUAUGUAAACUUCUAUCAGCAGGGAAGAAAGUGACGGUACCUGACUAAGAAGCCCCGGCUAACUACGUGCCAGCAGCCGCGGUAAUACGUAGGGGGCAAGCGUUAUCCGGAUUUACUGGGUGUAAAUGUAGCGUAGACGGCAGUGCAAGUCUGGAGUGAAAGGC
RNAcentral lists this ribosomal RNA (252 nucleotides) under uncultured bacterium. RNAcentral describes it as "partial 16S ribosomal RNA". It matches the Rfam family "Bacterial small subunit ribosomal RNA", at positions 333 to 602 of the family's 1533-position model. The record is from RNAcentral.